UACGAAGGGGGCGAGCGUUGUUCGGAAUUACUGGGCGUAAAGGGCGCGUAGGCGGUUGGAUAAGUCAGCUGUGAAAACCACGGGCUUAACUCGUGGCCUGCAGUUGAGACUGUCUGGCUUGAGUGUGGGAGAGGAGAGUGGAAUUCCUGGUGUAGCGGUGAAAUGCGUAGAUAUCGGGAGGAGCACCGGUGGCGAAGGCGGCGACCUGGGACAAUACUGACGCUGAGG
RNAcentral lists this ribosomal RNA (228 nucleotides) under uncultured prokaryote. Its description in RNAcentral is "partial 16S ribosomal RNA". It matches the Rfam family "Bacterial small subunit ribosomal RNA", at positions 524 to 751 of the family's 1533-position model. The record is from RNAcentral.